CUAAUACAUGCAAGUCGAGCGAACGGACGAGAAGCUUGCUUCUCUGAUGUUAGCGGCGGACGGGUGAGUAACACGUGGAUAACCUACCUAUAAGACUGGGAUAACUUCGGGAAACCGGAGCUAAUACCGGAUAAUAUUUUGAACCGCAUGGUUCAAAAGUGAAAGACGGUCUUGACUGUCACUUAUAGAUGGAUCCGCGCUGCAUUAGCUAGUUGGUAAGGUAACGGCUUACCAAGGCAACGAUGCAUAGCCGACCUGAGAGGGUGAUCGGCCACACUGGAACUGAGACACGGUCCAGACUCCUACGGGAGGCAGCAGUAGGGAAUCUUCCGCAAUGGGCGAAAGCCUGACGGAGCAACGCCGCGUGAGUGAUGAAGGUCUUCGGAUCGUAAAACUCUGUUAUUAGGGAAGAACAUAUGUGUAAGUAACUGUGCACAUCUUGACGGUACCUAAUCAGAAAGCCACGGCUAACUACGUGCCAGCAGCCGCGGUAAUACGUAGGUGGCAAGCGUUAUCCGGAAUUAUUGGGCGUAAAGCGCGCGUAGGCGGUUUUUUAAGUCUGAUGUGAAAGCCCACGGCUCAACCGUGGAGGGUCAUUGGAAACUGGAAUACUUGAGUGCAGAAGAGGAAAGUGGAAUUCCAUGUGUAGCGGUGAUAUGCGCAGAGAUAUGGAGGUACACCAGUGGCGAAGGCGACUUUCUGGUCU
Molecule: ribosomal RNA, 706 nt
Filed under: uncultured Staphylococcus sp.
Lineage: Bacteria; Bacillati; Bacillota; Bacilli; Caryophanales; Staphylococcaceae
Description: bacterial SSU rRNA
Rfam family: Bacterial small subunit ribosomal RNA
Source: RNAcentral